This 93-nucleotide non-coding RNA is filed under the name Legionella geestiana. RNAcentral's name for it is "TPP sequence". It matches the Rfam family "TPP riboswitch aptamer (THI element)". From Rfam's summary of the family: Vitamin B(1) in its active form thiamin pyrophosphate (TPP) is an essential coenzyme that is synthesised by coupling of pyrimidine and thiazole moieties in bacteria. The record is from Rfam by way of RNAcentral. Lineage: Bacteria; Pseudomonadati; Pseudomonadota; Gammaproteobacteria; Legionellales; Legionellaceae.
UUAGAUGGCGCGGGGUGUCCGUAACAGGGCUGAGAGUUACCCGUCGAACUUGAACUGGUUCAUACCAGCGUAAGGACGCCUUCCAAAAGUCUU